RNAcentral lists this ribosomal RNA (269 nucleotides) under uncultured Glomus. Its description in RNAcentral is "partial 18S ribosomal RNA". It matches the Rfam family "Eukaryotic small subunit ribosomal RNA", at positions 548 to 818 of the family's 1831-position model. Lineage: Eukaryota; Fungi; Glomeromycota; Glomeromycetes; Glomerales; Glomeraceae. The record is from RNAcentral.
UUGGAGGGCAAGUCUGGUGCCAGCAGCCGCGGUAAUUCCAGCUCCAAUAGCGUAUAUUAAAGUUGUUGCAGUUAAAAAGCUCGUAGUUGAAUUUCGGGAUUGGCGCAUCGGUCGUGCCUCACGGGGUAUGAACUGGUGCAGUCAAUUUCUCACCUUCUGGAGAACCGCGAUGUCCUUAAUUGGAUGCCGCGGGGAACCAGGACCUUUACUUUGAAAAAAUUGAGUGUUUAAAGCAGGCAUUUUGCUUGAAUACAUUAGCAUGGAAUAAA